This 253-nucleotide ribosomal RNA is filed under the name uncultured bacterium. Its description in RNAcentral is "partial 16S ribosomal RNA". It matches the Rfam family "Bacterial small subunit ribosomal RNA", at positions 524 to 776 of the family's 1533-position model. The record is from RNAcentral.
UACGUAGGGGGCGAGCGUUGUCCGGAUUCAUUGGGCGUAAAGCGCGCGCAGGCGGCGAGGCGAGCCCGGCGUGAAAGCCCCCGGCUCAACCGGGGGAGGUCGUCGGGGACCGCCUGGCUAGAGGCCGGUAGGGGCGAGCGGAAUUCCCGGUGUAGUGGUGGAAUGCGUAGAGAUCGGGAGGAACACCAGUGGCGAAGGCGGCUCGCUGGGCCGGUCCUGACGCUCAGGCGCGAAAGCGUGGGGAGCGAUCCGG